This 156-nucleotide ribosomal RNA is filed under the name Triticum aestivum (bread wheat). Its description in RNAcentral is "partial small subunit ribosomal RNA". The record is from RNAcentral. Lineage: Eukaryota; Viridiplantae; Streptophyta; Magnoliopsida; Poales; Poaceae.
AUGGCCCACAUAUCAGAUAUUAAACUGAUAAGAACAGAUACUACACUUGAUCUUAGCCAAAAGGCCGAGAAAGGUAUGCUUCAAAAGGUUGCCGUCCGCCUCUUCUUAUUGCUCUCUCAGCUGCCCGUGCUGCUCGCACGGGCGAGGUGGUACUAA